This is a long non-coding RNA of Oenanthe melanoleuca, 2761 nucleotides long. RefSeq lists it as uncharacterized. NCBI's taxonomy places the organism in Eukaryota, Metazoa, Chordata, Aves, Passeriformes, Muscicapidae. The record is from RefSeq and is a predicted model, not a curated record. The transcript is spliced from 4 exons.
ACAGGUACUUAAAACCUGGUUUAUUUCCUGGAGCUGCUUUUUAUUUCCUGCUACCCUUGACUCGGAAGAACAGCAGGUUACCUUCCUUCUGUGAAACACAGCACAACCAAACUGAAAGCCUGCCAAUUAGCAAAACCCACGCUCGUUUUCACUUCUGUCAGCUUGAGAAGAGAACAUGAAAUUCUUGCUAUAUUUAGACUACUCAGUAUCCACAGCAUGAAUCAGAGGAUCAAUCCAAACUCACAAGCUAAUUAAUGCAUUUGUUCCCUAUCAAAUUCAACUCUCACCAGGCAAGUAAAAACAGUGACGACAGUUUUGCCUUUCAAUUGUCUCUGCAAGUCAGGAGUAGGAACCUGCACUUUAGUUUGUUAUGUAAACAGGACUGGGGACACAACAGCCUGUUCUUUCCCAGCUGAUAUGUCUGCAAACACUGGGCAGACCCAUCUGGGCAAAACAAGACGGAGGUAAUGAAAAGGGGGGCACUGGUGUUAGAGACAAAGUCCAAGAUGGACAGUUCUAGAUGGAAAUCUGCCUUGAGGUUCUCCACCUGAUUCUGUUCAUCUGUACAUGCUUUCCUGGAGACAAACAGCUCCUACAGACAGGCAGGGAAACACAGCACAUAAAGCGGGAUGAGAUGAUUAAAACUAUAGUUUUACAGGCUGCCUGCUGCUCGGCAGAUGGAAAUUUUCCAGGCUGCCAGAAGAAAAGGGGAAGAAAAGGAAACCCGGAAGAAAGCGAAGGCAUGCCUGCUGCCCCGAGGGAGCCGACGUAUGUGAAAAGGAAUGUACAGCUCCAAGUGCACUUGCUCCGUGUGCCUUCCCAACCCCACGGAUGUGGGCAGGACCGUACGGUUCUGGGUGUUAAACUCGCCUUAAAGCAGGUCUGCUAAUAGGUCAGAAGAGACCAGAAAACCUGUGGCUGUGGUGAAGUGCCCAGUAUUUAAGCACCAGCUUUCAAAUAACUGGCAACAGCUGUAAUUUCUCACAGCACUUUUCAAAGGCAACUCUUCAAAAUCAGGUGAACUACUGUGGGAAAGGCCAUCCCUAACAUGGCCAUUUGGCUGCCUGUGCUCAUGGACAGCUCUGGAUGUGGACAGCUCUCAGUGUGGACAUUGGUGAUGAGAAAAAUGCUGCACCAAAGCUUCUUGAGGACCUCUUCACCUUGAAUGAGGCACUCUUGCCAGGUUAAUUGCCUGACACCAAGAAAACCUGUCUGUCGUGCUGUGCAGGUGUUUAUCUGGAAUGCUGUAUUGCUAUGGAGCUUUUGAGGAUUCUCUCUCCCUCUAACCAGUGAAGAGGAAUGAGUGAGUGGUUUUGUGGGACUGAAGUGCUGGCUGGGGUUAAGCCAUGAUACAGAAUUACAAAUGCAGGACCAUAGUGGCUCUUCAUCUUUUUGGCUUCCUACCAAAAUGCUCAUAGACUUCUUGGACAUCUUCUUGGUGAGCUGCAAAGUUAUUCUAAUGUCCUUUUCCUAAAUCAUUGCAUGGGCAAAAAUCUGUCUCCUCACAGAGCUAUUCCCUUGUGUCCAUGUCUGUGCAGGGCAGUCAUCACUUGCUCCAUUGGAAAUACAAUAUAUCUGUAAAUGCAUUGCUCACUGACAAAAUUACUUUUGUAUCUUGCUGCUCAUCAUCAGGACCAGCUCUGAAAUCAGCAAUUCUUCUGCUCAUCUCCCUCCCUCAUUGCCAGCAAGCACCCAAAGGGCACAUUAAAUAUAACCUUGGCCUCUGGUACAAAAAUAAAUCAUGGAACUUGACCCUCAUGCCAGUUAAAGAAGAAGCACUGAUUCAUAGUAACAAGUAUUUCCCCUUCCUUGAAAAGAUGCUGUGAGUGCCAGCUCCAUGAAGAAGAGCACAAAGCACGACUACCAGCCAAGUCCUGCUGAGACUCUGCAGCCUGAGGGUGUCAGAUGAGAUCUUUGCUGUUGUGUCCUGUGUCUGGCCAGGGCUGUGGUUUCCCCCGUCAGCAGCUGUCACAGGGAUUGUCUGCACAGUGCCACAGGAGCCAACAGUUGGAAAACACAUUUUAAACUCCCUGCUUCAAUUUGGUCUUUGAGGGAAACCUGCAGGGUGAUGCCUGGGUUCCCAGGAUAUCCCACUCCCAGCAAACUCUGCCAUGGCAAAACCUGUGCAUUGGGUCUCUAUCUGUGUAUGGGAAAAAAGUUCUAGUAGAAAUGGGAGUUCUUCAACUCCUUAAAUGGGACCAAGAUGGUAACAGUAAGUGGAUGUAAGUAUCUCAGUAAUUGCCAAGUAAGAACUGCUUUCAACACUGUAACACUUGGUCUGCCUUGCUGAAGGAAUGGAAUGGCUUGGAGGGUGCUUUCCUGCAGGGUCUCCCCAGUGCCUCACAGCAAACCUUGUCGGGAGCUUAUUAAUGCGGGACAAAAAGCAGCAUAUUUCCUCCUCAGAGACCAGGGAUGUCCUUUGACUUUGUGUUUAUUUCCCACAAUGAUGUCCAGCAAAAGUACCUGCAGUGUACUCGAAGAGCCUCAAGGUCUUCAUUCCUUUCACUUCCUCUCUUGGCCUUGGGAGUUUUCCCUGCCCGGAGAGGAUCAUGAAACAAACAGCAUCAGCUGUGAUUUACCGUCCCGCUCUGGGUGCUGCAAUGAGCUCCCCUCGUCAGCUCCCCGCAAUAGGGCACAUCUCCCAGAGAGAGAUCCAGAGGCUGUGGAUGCCGGGAUGCGGUCGGGGCUGGCGGUGCAGAGGCUAUGGAUCCCGGGAUGCGGUGAUGGCAGGCGAUCCAGAGGCUGUGGAUGCCGGGAUGCG